Molecule: ribosomal RNA, 426 nt
Filed under: uncultured bacterium
Lineage: Bacteria
Description: bacterial SSU rRNA
Rfam family: Bacterial small subunit ribosomal RNA
Source: RNAcentral
GGGCCCGCACAAGCGGUGGAGUAUGUGGUUUAAUUCGAUGCAACGCGAAGAACCUUACCAGGGUUUGACAUCCUGCGAACCUCUUGGAAACAGGAGGGUGCCUUCGGGAACGCAGUGACAGGUGGUGCAUGGCUGUCGUCAGCUCGUGUCGUGAGAUGUUGGGUUAAGUCCCGCAACGAGCGCAACCCACGUCUUUAGUUGCCAGCAUUUAGUUGGGCACUCUAGAGAGACCGCCGGUGAUAAACCGGAGGAAGGUGUGGAUGACGUCAAGUCAUCAUGCCCCUUACAUCCUGGGCUACACACGUACUACAAUGCUACGGACAAAGAGCAGCAAGUUCGCGAGGACAAGCAAAUCCCAUAAACCGUGGCUCAGUUCAGAUCGUAGGCUGCAACUCGCCUACGUGAAGGCGGAAUCGCUAGUAAUCG